This 588-nucleotide ribosomal RNA is filed under the name uncultured bacterium. Its description in RNAcentral is "partial 16S ribosomal RNA". It matches the Rfam family "Bacterial small subunit ribosomal RNA", at positions 355 to 1375 of the family's 1533-position model. The record is from RNAcentral.
UGGGGAAUUUUGGACAAUGGGCGAAAGCCUGAUCCAGCAAUGCCGCGUGUGUGAAGAAGGCCUUCGGGUUGUAAAGCACUUUUGUCCGGAAAGAAAUCCUUGGCUCUAAUACAGUCGGGGGAUGACGGUACCGGAAGAAUAAGCACCGGCUAACUACGUGCCAGCAGCCGCGGUAAUACGUAGGGUGCAAGCGUUAAUCGGAAUUACUGGGCGUAAAGCGUGCGCAGGCGGUUUGCUAAGACCGAUGUGAAAUCCCCGGGCUCAACCUGGGAACUGCAUUGGUGACUGGCAGGCUAGAGUAUGGCAGAGGGGGGUAGAAUUCCACGUGUAGCAGUGAAAUGCGUAGAGAUGUGGAGGAAUACCGAUGGCGAAGGCAGCCCCCUGGGCCAAUACUGACGCUCAUGCACGAAAGCGUGGGGGAGCAAAACAGGAUUAGAUACCCCUGGUAGUCCACGCCCUAAACGAUGUCAACUAGUUGUUGGGGAUUCAUUUCCUUAGUAACGUAGCUAACGCGUGAAGUUGACCGCCUGGGGAGUACGGUCGCAAGAUUAAAACUCAAAGGAAUUGACGGGGUCAUAGCUGUUUCCU